GCUUGUCUCAAAGAUUAAGCCAUGCAUGUCUAAGUAUAACUCUUUUACUUUGAAAACUGCGAACGGCUCAUUAUAUCAGUUAUAGUUUAUUUGAUGGUCCUUGCUACUUGGAUAACCGUAGUAAUUCUAGAGCUAAUACAUGCAUCAAGCCCCGACUUCUGGAAGGGGUGUAUUUAUUAGAUGGAAACCAAUGCGGGGCAACCCGGUAUAUGGUGAUUCAUAAUAACUUUCGGAUCGAUUUAUCGAUGCAUCAUUCAAGUUUCUGCCCUAUCAGCUUUGGAUGGUAGGGUAUUGGCCUACCAUGGCUUUAACGGGUAACGGAGAAUUAGGGUUCGAUUCCGGAGAGGGAGCCUGAGAAAUGGCUACCACAUCCAAGGAAGGCAGCAGG
This 388-nucleotide ribosomal RNA is filed under the name Ochromonas tuberculata. Its description in RNAcentral is "partial small subunit ribosomal RNA". It matches the Rfam family "Eukaryotic small subunit ribosomal RNA", at positions 30 to 432 of the family's 1831-position model. Lineage: Eukaryota; Chrysophyceae; Chromulinales; Chromulinaceae. The record is from RNAcentral.